AUUGCGCAAUGGGCGAAAGCCUGACGCAGCGACGCCGCGUGAGGGAUGAAGGUUCUCGGAUCGUAAACCUCUGUCAGGGGGGAAGAAACCCCCUCGUGUGAAUAAUGCGAGGGCUUGACGGUACCCCCAAACGGAAGCACCGGCUAACUCCGUCGCC
RNAcentral lists this ribosomal RNA (157 nucleotides) under uncultured bacterium. RNAcentral's name for it is "partial 16S ribosomal RNA". It matches the Rfam family "Bacterial small subunit ribosomal RNA", at positions 363 to 509 of the family's 1533-position model. The record is from RNAcentral.